Non-coding RNA from Ictidomys tridecemlineatus (thirteen-lined ground squirrel), 832 nucleotides. NCBI's taxonomy places the organism in Eukaryota, Metazoa, Chordata, Mammalia, Rodentia, Sciuridae. The record is from RefSeq and is a predicted model, not a curated record.
GGCAAUACCAUGAUAGUCAAUCUGCUAAUAGAUGACUACUAAGUAACCAACGAACAGGUAGCUUAUACAGCAUGGGCACGCUGAACAAAGGGGAGUGUCAUGUUUCAGACUAUGGUUGGUCACAGGUAACGGAAGCUGUGGAGAGUGAAACCACAGAUAGGGGAGGAGCCUAUACAGCAAAAGGUCUCUGCAUCAAGUAUAUCUCCUCUGUGAAUUCUUCUCUGAUCUACAACAUUGAAAUGAAUGGUUCACAUUUUCUCCUGCCAAACUUUGGGAGCCUGGUAAAUGUCAAGUUUCUGCUGGAUGUCAGGGCUUGCUUGGUGGGCAAGACUAGUGUGGUUCUUGUCCACAUGGAGCUAAUGUUCUCACAGGGAAAUGUAUACUCAGCAAAUAGUUACUUAAUUAAUAUGUGACCAUAGGUUCUAGCACUCUGCUAUCAGGAGCCAGAACAGCAGAAAUGGCUGGUGGGAGUGCUAACUGAAUUUGUGGGCUUUGAAGGCACUGCCUAGGGAGUACUGUAGUAAUUACAUUGUCUGCCAUUUACUGAGUGCCCGCUAUGUGCCUGACCCACAACACACACUGCGUGUACUGCCGUGAUCAUCUUUCACUCCUGUUUUACAGAUGAUAAAUGGAGUCUCAAAAACACUACAUAAUUUCUUUAAGGCAUUCAUCUAAAGAAAAUGUGACAAUUCAUGAACCCAUUUUUUUUUCUUGGCUGAAAGACUUUUCCUGUUCUUAUUUUACCAUGCAGAGACCUAGGGCAGGACAUGGAGGGCCCCUCUACCAGGAGAAGGGUGUAGGAGAAAGGGAAUGGGACUAUAAAAGCUAUUGC